AUUGGUUGGGACUUUUAUUUGUCGAAGCAGCAGCUCCGGGUCACAGGUGUUUGGAUUGUGACGAUGGCGGCGCCCAGUGAGCUGUUCUGCUGGAAGGCUGGUUUGGGUUUACCGUCAGUAAAUACGGACUGUCUCAUCGUGCUGGCAUACGCUCGCUUUGCUGGAGCUCCGCUCAAAAUUCACAAGAUUUCUAACCCCUGGAGAAGCCCCACAGGUUCACUUCCUGCUCUCAGGACCAAAGAUGAAGGCAGCUGCUCCCAACCCAGUCAGAUCAUCAUUCAGUUGAGGAAACAGAAAUACAAUGCAGACUAUGAUCUCUCGGCCAAAGAGGGCGCAGACACUCUGGCCUUCAUCUCACUGCUGGAGGAGCGACUGUUACCUGCGCUGAUCUACGCUUUAUGGAUCGAUCCUAAAAACUAUGUGGAGGUGACGCGCCGCUGGCAUGGAGAGAAUAUGUCCUUCCCGCUCAACUUCUUCCUGCCGGGCCUCAUGCAGAACAGGCAGCUUGAGCGACUCCGCCUGAUCCGGGGAAACAGUUCGCUGGAGGCGGGAGAAGAGGCAGAGAAGGAGCUUUACCACGAUGCUCUGGAGUGCCUCAAUCUUCUCUCUCAGCGACUGGGAUCGAACACAUUUUUCUUUGGCGAUUCGCCCUCUUCUCUAGAUGCAUAUGUCUUUGGUCAUCUAGCUCCGCUUAUUAAGAUCCGGCUGCCUAACUGCCGACUGCAGCAGAACUUGAAGAAUCUGGACAACUUGAACACAUUUUGCUGUAACAUCCUGAGCUUGUACUUCCCCAGCGAGAGUAAAGAGGGCGUCAAUCGUCCGAUGUCCAGCACACAGCAGGGGAGCGACUUUGACAACGAGCCAUACAAGAGACGCAAGCAGCUGCUGUCAGUGCUGGUCGCAGUGGCAGCGAUGCUGAGCUACGCUCUCUUCACCGGCAUAGUAGCUAUUGAGCAUGUGCAGGAGGAGGAGCCUGUAGGCCCCGCCUCACUCAGAGGCCCCUCCCAUGAGGAAGAGGAUGAGUGAAAGUAGGACUUUUUAGUUGCACUAGGAUGGUCAUGCCUACAUGGUGGAAGAAAACACAGGAACAACAUAUUGUUGGGGAUUCAUGUAUUAUUUAUUCCUUGAGCUUUAUUUGCUUGAUAAUCUUUGGUUUUAUAUCUUAUUUUUUCCAUAGAGCUGCACUCGUUGCUUAAAUCUUUUGACUGGGUAUAUUCACCUGUGUUAGCUACAAAUGCUAAGCUAAGUUUAGCUGAAAAAGCACUUAAAACUUCACCGUCGUCACCAACCUCACUGUUCAUUGUGUGGACCAAAACAUAUAUUACAGUUUUAAAUAGCUUUAUGAUAAUGAGAAUGAGAUUUACAUCUCUUACGUGCUAUUGCCUUAUUUAAAGCUCUGUGUUUUUCUUUUUACACAUUUUAUUUGCUUACCUGCGUUGUUCUGCUCUGCUGUCAGUACUGGACUGCUGUUAUAUACUUCAGAGAGAUUAAUACUUAUGUUAAUGUGAUGAUCCUAUUGAGUGAAAUAGGAAAUUACCAAUAUUUAAUGAUGUUAGAGUCUUAAAGACAUACAGUAAAUCACCAAAAACAUAUAAUUUAUUCGACUUCAUGUCUCAUUCCAAACCUGUGCGACUUGGUUUCUCGUGUGAAAUACAAAAGGACAUAGUAUGUAAAAUGUCAACAUUGAUUUCCUCUCAAUUAAAGUGCAGAUUUGUGCUCCAGAAGGAGAAAAAGUAGUUCAAACAACUUGUGAUCUAUUUUCUAAAUAUUCUGCAGCCAUACUUUAGUUAAUUUAUAUAAUUAUUCACUAAAAAUAUCCCUCUUGGCUAUUGGAACUUAUUUGCGCUAUAUAUUCUUAUUCAAAUAUGCAUAUGCAUGUUAAAAUUUGGAUCAGCAUGUUUGAUCACAUGUGAGAACCAUUAGCAUUUGGCAUCACUAAUUUGUGCAUUGCACAUUUGAAUAUUGAGCCAGAAUGAUUAUUAUGGCACAUUGUAUAGGAAACACUGACUUAAACAGGAUGAUUAAAAAUAUCUUCUUUUGUGACAAUCAUACAGGUUUACAUCAACACAGGGGUGAGUUAAAGAUGACAGAAUUUUAAUUUUUGAAUAAGCGAACCCUUUAAACACUUUCAGCUUACUGCAAAGGAUAAAGAGGAACUGUUUUACAUUAUUGAGGAUUAGAAAUGGCACUUGCAUAUUUUUUAGGAGAACGUAACAGAUUAUUAAAGCCAAAAGUUACUGUCCAAAGAAAUCUUGCUGACAGACCACAAAACUGGCAAAAGAUGUUUCAGUUCCUGUAACUUUCCAUGAGGUCUAUGGCAGUUAAACUAAGUUUUAACAGUUUUUUUUUUUGAUCUAGUUAAACUGUUUGAAAGAGAAACAAUGGAUUAAUGAAGAUGGCUGAUUUGGGUAUUGUUACUUAUUGUUUGUUGUCUUAUUUAUUUAUUUAUUUAUUUUUUCUUCUAAGCAUCUUUGUUUUAGACCAUAAAGCUCCAAAACUAGUUCCCUGGUGUGUUGAUAUGUAUGUAUUCAUUCAUAGAGAUGGAAAGGAAACUACAGAUUGAACAGUCAGUUAAUCUCAUUUCACAAGGUGUUACGGGCUGUAAAUAUAUAUUGCUUAUAGAGUUCUAUUUUCAUAAUUUAAUAGGCAAAUAAAUGGUCCUGAAUAACCUUGUUCUGCAGUGGGUUUCUUUAUUUUCUGCAGUUGCAAUGCUGCAUUGACACAGAGGGAGUUGCUGAUUUUAUCUGUUGCAUUGUUGUAACAAGUGACCCUGAGCUGAGGACCGUGUGUGUGAAUUGGAGGUUGUAAGAGAGAAAGAUAUUUGUUUCAAGCUACGGUUUACCUGCCGGCAGUGUUUCCGAGCAUCAGAGCUGACUGAGCGAGGGCUCUGUGAAUUGGUGCCCUGGGGAGACACAGCUGUGUGUUACAGCACCAGACUGGAAUCCUUCUCUGGCUCCUGUUCGUUUCCUUGUAUUUGUGUGUGGAAACAUAGUGAACCCCCUUCCCAGCACUAGAUCCAGAGAAAUCAGGAGCUCCCCGAAGCCACACGACAUCGUUUAAUGACCUCAGAAGAAUCAUCUGGGAAAGAAUUCCUGUUCAAGAAGGAAAAAUGCAUUUGGAUUGUGCUCAUUUUCCACACAGGGAUUGAGACGGGGAAGCGGGUCCAGUAAAGCUCAAGUAUGACAGAACUGUUCCCCCGACACCUGCUGUUAAAAGCUGUUUCUAGGGAAACUCAGAGGUAAUGAAAAAUAAACAUCACCCCAGGACA
Molecule: RNA transcript, 3268 nt
Organism: Sinocyclocheilus rhinocerous
Lineage: Eukaryota; Metazoa; Chordata; Actinopteri; Cypriniformes; Cyprinidae
Gene: mtx1a
Gene name: metaxin 1a
Exons: 9
Source: RefSeq, a predicted model, not a curated record